GACCUCAUAGGGUCAACCAAAGCAGUUUAGAACUAGCUAGUGCAUUUUGCGAUACAGUAUAGCUGCCAUCUGUGUUUGAAGAACACUGCGAUAUGGUGGUUUUCGUUUCCUGCACAAAAUCUGGUUUGCCUUUGUUUUCCAAGGGCAAUGACUGGCAAGCAACUAGACUUUCCAUUCAUCAAGAAGCUGACGACGAUGACGAUGAUGAUGAUGAUGGUGGGAUCGAUAUAGCACCAGCAGCAUAAUGGAUCAAUUCGGAUGAAGUGCUGCAAAGUAUGAAGAAAUUAACUUGAGAUUGUGUUAUUCAUCAAUCUCACGCAUGCUGCACUUGUAUGGCUUAUAUUAUGACAUGGGGUAUUUAUCUAUAUUUAUGUAGUAAUUUGUGUAAGCCUCUUUAGACUUUACUUACACUGAUAUUUACAUAAAACAUAAUAUAUGUAGUACUGUUUAAUGUUUUGCUUACAGCUAGCUUACCCAUCAGUUGUAAUUGAUAUAUUUAUAUUAAUUACUAUAUAAAUAUUACAUAUAUAUGAUGUUUUGUUUACAAGACUCUUUCUAUCUCUCUCUCUUUCUUUCUUUAACAAUUAAUAAUGUAAUUGAG
This 601-nucleotide long non-coding RNA is filed under the name Glycine max (soybean). RNAcentral's name for it is "long non-coding RNA (GMAX_LNC004102)". The record is from RNAcentral. Lineage: Eukaryota; Viridiplantae; Streptophyta; Magnoliopsida; Fabales; Fabaceae.